Long non-coding RNA from Diabrotica virgifera virgifera (western corn rootworm), 829 nucleotides. RefSeq lists it as uncharacterized. NCBI's taxonomy places the organism in Eukaryota, Metazoa, Arthropoda, Insecta, Coleoptera, Chrysomelidae. The record is from RefSeq and is a predicted model, not a curated record. The transcript has 2 exons.
GAAUAUUUUCUACGCCGGCCCUGACGGACGACUAAAAGAAAUGGAUGUUCUGACAAACAGCAUAGAUGCCCGAAUAUGGAUAAUGAAGUAUUUAAUGAGUCAGUCGAUUAUAGUAUUUUGUGAUAGAAAGACAUGUGUACCUAGAUAUUAGAAUAAAUGUAUUAAAUUCUGAAUUUGCCUUUAAAUAUUUAACAAAGCAGCGGUAGGAUAUUAUCCAUGUGCUAUAACAAGUGUUAAGUUAUAUUAAUACUUAUUUAAUAGUGAUAUUUGUUUAAAAACACAAUAAUUGUAUAUCGUAUGUGAAUGUUUCGAAAGUGACAAAAAUAGCAACGGAAUUUUCCUGCAAGAAGUGAACUUGUGAAGUGUUGUUACGUUAAAGUGUUUUACGUGGAAUUUUAUCCGGAAUUUGCACUAAAUGCGACGUGUAAAUAAUAUUUUUAAAGUACGGUGAAUCACCUGGGUGUUUUUAUGAGUUGUUUUUGGAUCAAUUUGUGAUGUUUCUUUGCCAAUGAUGUACAUUGUACCACAUAUUUUUUAUGACAGGAUGUCUGUUGGAACUUCGAACUUGUGUCUGAUGGGGUUAAGAGGAUUGAACUGUAAAUCAGUGGCAUCGGAUCCACGAGGACGUGGAUAAGGGAAGCGUGGCCGACUGUAAAGAAUAUUUUCUACGCCGGCCCUGACGGACGACUAAAAGAAAUGGAUGUUCUGACAAACAGCAUAGAUGCCCGAAUAUGGAUAAUGAAGUAUUUAAUGAGUCAGUCGAUUAUAGUAUUUUGUGAUAGAAAGACAUGUGUACCUAGAUAUUAGAAUAAAUGUAUUAAAUUCUGAA